Molecule: unclassified non-coding RNA, 332 nt
Filed under: uncultured soil eukaryote
Lineage: Eukaryota
Description: sequence contains 5.8S rRNA gene, ITS2, 28S rRNA gene
Source: RNAcentral
AACGCAUAUUGCGCUCAAGGCUUCGGCCAAGAGCAUGUCUGCCUCAGCGUCGGGUUAAUAUCGCUCUCUCUAUACUUAUGUAUAGUAACUUGAGCGGACCUGGCUGUUCCAGUCGGUCCUUAUGUAUGUAUGUAUGUACAUACGUAAGGCUCUGGAUCAGCUGAAGAACAGAGGUUAGCUCAAGGACCGCUAAGGGCCGCAACUGGGUAGGCAGCUCACGCUUGCUAUAUUAUCUUAGUUGUUGGCUUGGGACUUGUCGGCUUGACCCUCAAUCAGGAACCCUUACUUAUUUUCUCGACCUGAGCUCAGGCAAGAACACCCGCUGAACUUAA